RNAcentral lists this ribosomal RNA (433 nucleotides) under uncultured bacterium. Its description in RNAcentral is "partial 16S ribosomal RNA". It matches the Rfam family "Bacterial small subunit ribosomal RNA", at positions 29 to 507 of the family's 1533-position model. The record is from RNAcentral.
AACAAACGCUGGCGGCAUGCCUAACACAUGCAAGUCGAACGAGACCUUCGGGUCUAGUGGCGCACGGGUGCGUAACGCGUGGGAACCUGCCCUUAGGUUCGGAAUAACUCCCCGAAAGGGGUGCUAAUACCGGAUAAUGUCUUCGGACCAAAGAUUUAUCGCCUUUGGAUGGGCCCGCGUUGGAUUAGCUAGUUGGUAGGGUAAAAGCCUACCAAGGCGACGAUCCAUAGCUGGUCUGAGAGGAUGAUCAGCCACACUGGGACUGAGACACGGCCCAGACUCCUACGGGAAGCAGCAGUGGGGAAUAUUGGACAAUGGGCGAAAGCCUGAUCCAGCAAUGCCGCGUGAGUGAUGAAGGCCUUAGGGUUGUAAAGCUCUUUUACCCGGGAUGAUAAUGACAGUACCGGGAGAAUAAGCUCCGGCUAACUCCGUG